RNAcentral lists this ribosomal RNA (754 nucleotides) under uncultured bacterium. RNAcentral describes it as "bacterial SSU rRNA". It matches the Rfam family "Bacterial small subunit ribosomal RNA", at positions 8 to 796 of the family's 1533-position model. The record is from RNAcentral.
AGAGUUUGAUCCUGGCUCAGGAUCAACGCUGGCGGCGUGCCUAAUGCAUGCAAGUCGCACGGACAGUCUUCGGACUGCCAGUGGCGAACGGCUGAGGAACACGUGCGUAUCUGCCUUCUCGUGGGGAAUAACGGGUGGAAACACCCGCUAAUACCGCGUACGCUCAUGCAAAUGAGGAAAGCCCUUCGGGGCGCGGGGAGAGGAGCGCGCGGCCCAUCAGGUAGAUGGCGGGGUAAUGGCCCACCAUGCCGGUGACGGGUCGCUGGUCUGUGAGGAUGGCCAGCCAGACUGGGACUGCGACACGGCCCAGACACCUACGGGUGGCAGCAGCAAGGAAUCUUCGGCAAUGGGCGCAAGCCUGACCGAGCAACGCCGCGUGGAGGACGACGGCCUUCGGGUUGUAAACUCCUUUUGGGAGGGAUGAUACGGACAGUACCUCCUGAAUAAGCCCCGGCUAACUCUGUGCCAGCAGCCGCGGUAAUACAGAGGGGGCAAGCGUUGUCCGGACUUACUGGGCGUACAGCGCGCGCAGGUGGUCGGCUAAGUUCGUGGUGACAGCGUGCGGCUCAACCGCACACGGUCCAGGGAGACUGGUCGACUAGAGGCAUCGAGAGGGAAACGGAAUACCCGGUGGAGCGGUGAAAUGCGUAGAGAUCGGGUGGAACACCAGUGGCGAAGGCGGUUUCCUGGCGAUGACCUGACACUGAGGCGCGACAGCGUGGGGAGCAAACGGGAUUAGAUACCCCAGUAGUCC